AAAAAAUAAAAAAAGAUGAAGCAAGCUUUAGCAACAAUUUUCGUCGUGGGGAUCGCUUUUCUUAUUCUCACAUCAGGUAUAUUCUUUUGCUAAGUUAAUUUUUAUUUCUUAUUAUUCGAACACAUUAAAUAUGCAAGAUUGUUUAUGUACGUACUGCUAUAUAUUUAUUUGCAGAAAAUGGAAUAAUGCAUUCAGUUGAAGGGCAAGCAGUAAAUGUUUGUGAAGAAUUAAUUCUUGGCGUUGCGUGUCAUCCAGAAAGAGAUUCAGCGAAAUGCCUGACAGAGUGCUCUAAAAUAUCCAAAGGUCAUGGCAUCGUCGAUCAUUAUUGUUUAAGAGGGGAAACUACAAGUACUCCUAAUUACUGCUAUUGUCGAUGGAUAGCAGAUUUCUGUAGUUAAUUAAGAGUGUUAAUUAUACUCUAAAAGCAAGACUUUGAAAAUGUAGUAGUUCUUCAAGCUACUUGUGCUUAAUAAGAUAUAUAUAGCGACUACUUUCUCUUCAUGAAGUUGUAUAAGAAUUUGGUAAAGAAAGAGAGGGAAUAUUGUAUUCGUUCAAAUAUUCUCGUAUGAAUUUCUAUAACAUUCCAGCUUUAAAGU
This 596-nucleotide long non-coding RNA is filed under the name Nicotiana tabacum (common tobacco). RNAcentral's name for it is "long non-coding RNA (NTAB_LNC009667)". The record is from RNAcentral. Lineage: Eukaryota; Viridiplantae; Streptophyta; Magnoliopsida; Solanales; Solanaceae.